AGUUCAGUGGAACCGCUCUAGUGGCCAAGGAUUCCGCUCUUUCAAGGCGGAGACACGGGUUCGACUCCCGUAGGCGACGCCA
This 82-nucleotide transfer RNA is filed under the name Gluconobacter kondonii. RNAcentral describes it as "tRNA-Glu". It matches the Rfam family "tRNA", at positions 9 to 71 of the family's 71-position model. From Rfam's summary of the family: Transfer RNA (tRNA) molecules are approximately 80 nucleotides in length. The record is from RNAcentral. Lineage: Bacteria; Pseudomonadati; Pseudomonadota; Alphaproteobacteria; Acetobacterales; Acetobacteraceae.